Molecule: long non-coding RNA, 444 nt
Filed under: Phoenix dactylifera (date palm)
Lineage: Eukaryota; Viridiplantae; Streptophyta; Magnoliopsida; Arecales; Arecaceae
Description: long non-coding RNA (PDAC_LNC015736)
Source: RNAcentral
AAAAAACCAAGUUUUUGUUUUUUUUGCGUUUGAUUUAUUCUAUUACAUUCUGAGCAAAUGCACAUGUAUUUUCAUAUUGAGUUUGUGCAACUAUUAAGGCAAGGAACACAUGCAUACUAUGACUGAUCAGAGACCUAUUAUUAGAUCUCCACACGUGUAUUUAAUGAUAAUAGGAAGGCCUCAGGAGUUCACAUUUGUUAACUGCAUUUUUGUUAGCCUUAUCCGUAAAAGAAGUACGAGUAUCCUUGUUCGUACCAUAAGAUUCAUAAUUUGGUUUUCACAUAAAGAUAGAGGUUGAAUAUCCCGACUAGAUUACUUAGGUGCCUUAUGAUUAGACCUUGGUUGACCUAUAGUCAUGAUGCAGUCACAUAUAUAAUAAAAAUAUCUAUAUGUUUCAGUCUACCUUCUCUUUUCUUGCAUGAUUAAAAAAAUCCUUAUGAUGAC